RNAcentral lists this non-coding RNA (30 nucleotides) under Homo sapiens (human). Lineage: Eukaryota; Metazoa; Chordata; Mammalia; Primates; Hominidae. The record is from RNAcentral.
CACGAUGACCAAUGGUUCCCGAGGGGGAAU